AUAAACGCUGGCGGCGCACAUAAGACAUGCAAGUUGCACGGACUUAAUCGAAAUAUUUAUAUUUUGAAGCGGGUAGUGGCGGACUGGUGAGUAACGCGUAAGGAACCUGCCUAUUAGAGGGGAAUAACAGGGAGAAAUCAUUGCUAAUACCGCAUAUGCCAUAGAUAUCACAUGAUAACAGUGGGAAAGGAGCAAUCCGCGAAUAGAUGGCCUUGCGGCUGAUUAGAUAGUUGGUGGGGGAACGGCCUACCAAGUCGACGAUCAGUAGCCGGACUGAUAGGUUGCACUGCCGCCUCGGGACUGAGGUACGGCCCGGACUCCUUCGGGAGGCAGCAGUCGGGUAUCUUGCGCAAUGGAGGUAACUCUGACGCAGUGUCGCCGCGUAUAGGUCGAAGGUUUUCGGAUUGUAAACUAUUGUCGUUAUGGACGCGUAAUGACAGUACCUAAGGAGGAAGCCCCGGCUAACUACGUG
RNAcentral lists this ribosomal RNA (472 nucleotides) under uncultured bacterium. RNAcentral describes it as "partial 16S ribosomal RNA". It matches the Rfam family "Bacterial small subunit ribosomal RNA", at positions 29 to 507 of the family's 1533-position model. The record is from RNAcentral.